GAUCCAGUGGCGUAAUGGAUAAGGCAUCAUCCUCCAAAGCUGGGGUGUGUGGGUUCAAGUUCCACCUGGGUCU
RNAcentral lists this transfer RNA (73 nucleotides) under Salmo salar (Atlantic salmon). It matches the Rfam family "tRNA". Rfam says of the family: Transfer RNA (tRNA) molecules are approximately 80 nucleotides in length. The record is from Rfam by way of RNAcentral. Lineage: Eukaryota; Metazoa; Chordata; Actinopteri; Salmoniformes; Salmonidae.